GUGAGUCAUCGAAUCUUUGAACGCACAUUGCGCCCGCCAGUAUUCUGGCGGGCAUGCCUGUUCGAGCGUCAUUUCAACCCUCAAGCUUGGCUUGGUGUUGGGGCCUUGCGGCUACCGCAAGCCCUGAAAAGCAGUGGCGGGCUCGCUAUAACUCCGAGCGUAGUAACAUAUCUCGUUCUGGAAGGAUGGCGGGUGCCGGCCGUUAAAACCCCUACUUUUUUAAGGUUGACCUCGGAUCAGGUAGGAAUACCCGCUGAACUUAAGCAUAUCAAUAAGCGGAGGA
RNAcentral lists this unclassified non-coding RNA (283 nucleotides) under Dendrosporium sp. RNAcentral's name for it is "partial contains 5.8S ribosomal RNA, internal transcribed spacer 2, and large subunit ribosomal RNA". The stretch from base 1 to 71 matches the Rfam family "5.8S ribosomal RNA", at positions 84 to 154 of the family's 154-position model. Lineage: Eukaryota; Fungi; Ascomycota. The record is from RNAcentral.